RNAcentral lists this ribosomal RNA (442 nucleotides) under uncultured bacterium. RNAcentral describes it as "partial 16S ribosomal RNA". It matches the Rfam family "Bacterial small subunit ribosomal RNA", at positions 338 to 795 of the family's 1533-position model. The record is from RNAcentral.
CCUACGGGAGGCAGCAGUGGGGAAUAUUGGGCAAUGGGCGCAAGCCUGACCCAGCAACGCCGCGUGAAGGAAGAAGGCUUUCGGGUUGUAAACUUCUUUUAACAGGGAAGAGCAGAACACUGUACCUCUUCAAUAACCCACGGCUAACCACGCGCCAGCAGCCGCGGUAAGAUGUAGGGGGCAAGCGUUGUCCGGAUUUACUGGGUGUAAAGGGCGUGCAGCCGGGAAGACAUGUCAGAUGUGAAAUCCCGCGGCUCAACCGCGGAACUGCAUUUGAAACUGUAUGGCUGGAGUACCGGAGAGGUCAUCGGAAUUCCUUGUGUAGCGGUGAAAUGCGUAGAUAUAAGGAAGAACACCAGUGGCGAAGGCGGAUGACUGGACGGCAACUGACGGUGAGGCGCGAAAGCGUGGGGAGCAAACAGGAUUAGAUACCCGAGUAGUC